This is an RNA transcript of Raphanus sativus (radish), 3062 nucleotides long. It is a transcript of the gene named receptor-like kinase TMK4, with no coding region annotated. The record is from RefSeq and is a predicted model, not a curated record. NCBI's taxonomy places the organism in Eukaryota, Viridiplantae, Streptophyta, Magnoliopsida, Brassicales, Brassicaceae. The transcript is spliced from 2 exons.
AUGACACCUCACUUUACGCUUCCUUCCCUUCCAUUCAUCAUCUCUCUCCUCCAACAUCAUCACAAAGCCUAAUUUUCACCAUACCCAACCUUCUUCUUCUUCUUCCUCCUCAAUCCUUCUUCUGACUGUUCUCCAAUCCAUGGAGGCUCCCACGCCUCACCUCCUCCUCUUCCUCCUCUUCGCCGUCUCUUCCCUCACCACAUCCACCACCGCAGAUGACGGAGCAGCAAUGCUCGCAUUAGCCAAAUCAUUCCGUCCUCCGCCGUCAGACUGGUCAACCACCUCCUCCACCGACUACUGCAAAUGGACCGGCGUAAAAUGCACCUCCGGCCGCCGCGUCGGCUCAAUAAGCCUCGAGGACACGUCUCUCUCCGGCGUAUUACCACCGGAGAUCUCCACUCUCUCCGAGCUCAAGACCCUCACUCUCCAACGCAACAAACUCUCCGGAAAAAUCCCCUCCUUCGCUAAACUCUCCUCUCUCCAAGAAAUCUACCUCGACGCGAACCUCUUCGACUCCGUCGAGCCCGGAGCUUUCGCCGGACUCACCAGCCUCCAGGUCCUGAGCUUAAGCGACAACCCCAACAUCUCCCCUUGGAGCUUCCCUUCCGAGCUCGCGGACUCGUCUUCCCUCACCACCCUCUCCCUCGACAACACCACGAUCUCCGGCGUCUUGCCUGACGUUUUCGCCUCCUUCGCUUCUCUCCAGAGUCUCCGCCUCUCUUACAACAACAUCACCGGCGUUUUACCUCCCUCGCUGGCCAAGUCUCCGGUUCAGAAUUUUUGGAUCAAUAAUCAGAAAUCCGGUUUAUCCGGUACGAUUCAAGUUCUUUCCGGUAUGACGUCGUUAUCACAAGCUUGGUUACAGAAGAAUCAGUUAACCGGACCGAUACCGGAUCUCUCGAAAACCAAUCUCUUCGAUCUUCAGCUUAGAGAUAACCAGUUAACCGGAACCGUAGCUCCCUCGCUGUUACCGCUCGGAAGCCUCAAGAACAUUACUCUCGACAACAACAAGUUUCAAGGUCCUCUUCCUCUGUUUCCACCGGAGGUUGAGAAAGUAUCCGCCGAGCAUAACUACUUCUGCACCGCCAAAGCUGGAGAGAACUGUGAUCCUCAGGUCAUGACGCUCUUGGCCGUGGCCGGUGGUUUGGGGUAUCCGUCUACGUUGGCUGAGUCUUGGCAAGGAAACGAUGCUUGUAGCAGCUGGGCGUAUGUUACUUGCGACUCAAGUAAGAGGAGUGUUGUCACGUUGAAUCUUGCCAAACAUGGAUUCGCCGGAGUUAUAUCUCCGGCGAUGGCGAAUCUCACUUCAGUCAAAAACAUUUACCUUAACGACAACAACUUAACCGGGGCUGUCCCUAGAGUGUUGACAUAUAUGCCUAGUCUGCAGCUAAUCGAUGUCUCAAACAACAACCUCACCGGAGAAAUACCGAUUUUUCCGGCUCAGGUGAAGUUUAAUUACAAACCGGGAAACGUUUUGAUUGGAACUGACGUCGGAGAUUCUACAAACGGUGGUGGUGGUGGUGGUGGUGGUGGUAAGGCUGGUGUGAUCAUCGGUGUGAUCGUAGGUGUUCUUGUUUUCAUCGCUAUUUUUGGAUUUGUGGUUUACAAAUUUGUCAUGAAGGAGAAGUAUGGGAAGUUUGGAAGGACGGAUCCUGAGAAGGCCGGGAAGCUUAUGGUUAGUGAUGAUAAGAAUGGUGGUGCAUACGGGAAUGGGCAUGGAGCUAGCAACUUCAAUGCGGUGAAGAGUCCUAGUAGUGGUGACAGUAGCGAUCGUUUCCUUGUUGAAGGUGGAAACGUUACCAUCCCAAUAGAGGUUCUUCGUCAAGUUACUAAUAAUUUCAGCGAUGCUAAGAUAUUGGGAAGAGGCGGCUUUGGUGUUGUGUAUGCCGGAGAGCUACACGAUGGGACCAAGACUGCUAUUAAGAGGAUGGAAUCUUCAUCGAUGGGUGAUAAAGGAAGGAACGAGUUUCAGGCCGAGAUCGCUGUGCUCACUAAGGUCAGACAUAGACAUUUGGUUGCUCUGUUGGGUUACUGUGUGAACGGGCACGAGAGAUUGCUUGUCUACGAGUACAUGCCUCAGGGGAAUCUUGGACAACAUUUGUUUGAGUAUCAAGAACUAGGGUACUCUCCUUUGACGUGGAAACAAAGAGUGAGUAUCGCUCUGGAUGUGGCACGAGGUGUGGAAUAUCUCCAUGGCUUAGCUCAGCAGAGCUUCAUCCAUAGAGAUUUAAAGCCUUCUAACAUCCUUCUUGGUGAUGAUAUGAGGGCAAAGGUUGCUGAUUUCGGUUUGGUUAAGAACGCACCGGACGGGAAAUACUCUGUUGAGACGAGAUUAGCAGGCACAUUCGGUUAUCUAGCACCAGAAUACGCCGCUACUGGGAGAGUAACGACGAAAGUGGAUGUGUUUGCAUUUGGAGUUGUUCUUAUGGAGAUGCUAACGGGAAGAAAAGCAUUAGACGAUUCAUUACCAGACGAGAAGUGUCAUCUAGUCACGUGGUUCAGAAGAAUCCUAAUCAACAAAGAAAACAUCUCAAAGGAACUCGACCAAACAUUGGAGGCAGACGAGGAAACAUUGGAGAGCAUUCACAGGGUUGCUGAGCUAGCAGGACAUUGCACAGCCCGGGAGCCUCAACAGAGACCAGAUAUGGGCCACGCGGUGAACGUGUUAGGCCCACUGGUGGAGAAGUGGAAACCGACGAGCCAGGAACAAGAAGAGAGUUUCGGGAUCGAUGUGGGCAACAUGAGUUUACCUCAAGCUCUACGCAGAUGGCAACAAAACGAAGGAACAUCGACGUCAAUGUUCGGUGGCGACUUCUCUUACUCUCAGACACAGUCUAGCAUUCCUCCUAAGCCUUCUGGUUUUAAUAGCACGUUCGAUUCAACUGAUGGUCGGUGACAACAAACUCUUGUGUGUUUUCAAAUCGAUGUUACUUUUGUGUGUGUGUGUUUUUAAAUCUUCUUAUGAUUUGAUGAUUAUAUUUCUAUAUACUGUUAGCACAUAUGUGAUGUAUUUGCGUCUGACCACUUGAGCUUUUGCAUUUAUUCAUUCGUUUAAAGAGAAA